RNAcentral lists this ribosomal RNA (402 nucleotides) under uncultured bacterium. RNAcentral describes it as "bacterial SSU rRNA". It matches the Rfam family "Bacterial small subunit ribosomal RNA", at positions 355 to 774 of the family's 1533-position model. The record is from RNAcentral.
UGGGGAAUAUUGGACAAUGGGGGAAACCCUGAUCCAGCAAUGCCGCGUGAGUGAAGAAGGCCUUAGGGUUGUAAAGCUCUUUCGCCCGCGAAGAUAAUGACGGUAGCCGGAGAAGAAGCCCCGGCUAACUUCGUGCCAGCAGCCGCGGUAAUACGAAGGGGGCUAGCGUUGUUCGGAAUUACUGGGCGUAAAGCGCACGUAGGCGGAUUGUUAAGUCGGGGGUGAAAUCCCGGGGCUCAACCCCGGAACUGCCUUCGAUACUGGCAAUCUAGAGUCCGGAAGAGGUGAGUGGAAUUCCGAGUGUAGAGGUGAAAUUCGUAGAUAUUCGGAGGGACACCAGUGGCGAAGGCGGCUCACUGGUCCGGUACUGACGCUGAGGUGCGAAAGCGUGGGGAGCAAACA